Molecule: long non-coding RNA, 581 nt
Organism: Dreissena polymorpha
Lineage: Eukaryota; Metazoa; Mollusca; Bivalvia; Myida; Dreissenidae
Exons: 2
Source: RefSeq, a predicted model, not a curated record
CGGCGGGCGGAAGGCAUCACUUUGUCCGGACUCUAAUUCAAAUUGUAUUCAUCCGAUCUUCACCAAACUUGGUCAGCAGUUGCAUCUAGUUGAUAUCUAGGCCAAGUUCGAAUAUGGGUCAUGCCGGGUCAAAAACUAGGUCAUAGGGUCAAUAAGUGCAUUUUCAAAGGGGCCACUUUGUCCGGACUCUAUUUCAAAUUGUAUUCAUCCGAUCUUCACCAAACUUGGUCAGCAGUUGCAUCUAGUUGAUAUAUAGGCCAAGUUCGAAUAUGGGUCAUGCCGGGUCAAAAACUAGGUCAUAGGGUCAAUUAGUGCAUUUUCAACGGCGCCACUUUGUCCGGACUCUAAUUCAAAUUGUAUUCAUCCGAUCUUCACCAAACUUGGUCAGAAGUUGUAUCUAGACAAUAUCUAGGUCAAGUUCGAAUAUGGGUCAUGCCGGGUCAAAAACUAGGUCACAGGGUCACUUAAACCAUUUCAAGCAUUUAGCAUGGUGUCCGCUCUCUAAUUGAAGUAGUUAUCAUCCGAUCUUCACCAAAUUUGGUCAGAAGUUGUGUCUAGACAAUAUCUACAUGUAGGUCAAG